UCACGAUCAGCAAUGAUCUUGGCAGGCUAAGAACGAGCCUGAGCAAGCGUCUGAGUAAAGUCCUUUCUUAUCUACAAUUCCAGCUCCACUAGACAAGGAGGAUGAAGGGAAAUUAAAGACACCUUCAGAUAAGACACGGAACCCAAAGAAUUCAAGGAUGGCGUGCCCAUGUUCACACAGUUCCUAAGCGGCAAGAUGGGAAUUUGAAUAGAACCCGCCUGACAAAAGUCUGAAUUAACGCUCUUCUCCAAAAUGCCUAAAUGGAUGUGGUGUAGACACGUGCAGAGACAGGAUGUUAGAAUAAAGCCUAGAAGAACAGAGAGAAAACGAGACUAGAAGAAUGUGAAAGGCUGUCCUCUAUGGGUUCUGUCACUUCCCCGUGCGAUCAGCCCUCCGCCAGUCAACUCGGGUCGGCCAUGCACAGCCCAUCCCCAACCCCACAGCUCUUCCCCAACCUCUGGGAACCUCUGCCCCCCAACUGUGAGCACAGGGGAGGGAGUCCAGGUGGGUACCCACCUUUGACUUUGGGCUUCCCUCCCCCAGGAGACCCAACCAGCUCUCGCUGGAAUCCUGAGAGCUGGUGGGGCCAACAGCCAUCCUGUGGCCCCCUGGGGGCUGAGGAAGGGCCACCAUCAAGGAGGCAGAGCUGGAAAUGAAGAUGUGUGUGACCCGCACCUGUGUGGAACCAGGGGUAGGCUGGACUCACAGUUGGAGAGCUCUUAAAUUCGCGCCCCUUUCCCUCGCCAACCAGACUGAGUGGGCAACGCCUUAGCAACUAAAAAACCAUUGCAACUGCUCAGCACACAGACAAGGAAAAUGCCCGUAUGAUGGAAUCAGAAGCAGUGAAAGCUGAAUUUAGGUUUUUGGUCCAUCUGCACUCUUACAGAGGAGCAGAGGCCUAAAGCUUUCUGAGAGUCUUCCAGAAAACUGAGCAGAGGUGAGUGCAGCCUCACCCUGUGGUGCUACAUCAUCCCAUCUUUGAAUAAAAGGAACCCUUUCCCGUGGCUCCUGUCUCCUUCAGACACAACUCGGUCCGCCUUUCGAGCUUCCUUGUGUUCCUGUACAAAACAUGCCCCUGCCUCAUCUCGUGAACCAGUUUCCCCCCACCCGGAAUCAGCAGGGUUUCCAAGGAUCUGUGCCGACUGUCCUGGGGCAGGAUUGCAGAUCAAGUUCUGGUCCGUGCCUCUGCUCACCGCUGCCUGUUUGGUAUAAUGUGAGGACUUUUCCAGAGAACCAGAAGACAGGUACUUCUUCAGAGUCUCCUGCUCACCAGGCAUGCUGCUGGCCACCAGCGCUCAGCACCAACCGUCAUGUGGUCCUUCCUUUCACCCGGGUUACCAGGAAGUCUGGGCUACUGGAUGAGCA
This is a long non-coding RNA of Prionailurus viverrinus (fishing cat), 1365 nucleotides long. RefSeq lists it as uncharacterized. NCBI's taxonomy places the organism in Eukaryota, Metazoa, Chordata, Mammalia, Carnivora, Felidae. The record is from RefSeq and is a predicted model, not a curated record. The transcript is spliced from 4 exons.